GUGCCUACGGGGCGCAGCAGUGAGGAAUAUUGGUCAAUGGGCGGAAGCCUGAACCAGCCAAGUCGCGUGAGGGAAUAAGGCCCUACGGGUCGUAAACCUCUUUUGCCGGGAGCAAGGGCCGGGACGCGUCCCGGCCCGGAGAGUACCCGGAGAAAAAGCAUCGGCUAACUCCGUGCCAGCAGCCGCGGUAAUACGGAGGAUGCGAGCGUUAUCCGGAUUUAUUGGGUUUAAAGGGUGCGUAGGCGGAAUAUCAAGUCAGCGGUAAAAAUUCGGGGCUCAACCCCGCCGUGCCGUUGAAACUGAUG
RNAcentral lists this ribosomal RNA (305 nucleotides) under uncultured bacterium. RNAcentral's name for it is "bacterial SSU rRNA". It matches the Rfam family "Bacterial small subunit ribosomal RNA", at positions 334 to 638 of the family's 1533-position model. The record is from RNAcentral.